Molecule: long non-coding RNA, 380 nt
Organism: Talpa occidentalis (Iberian mole)
Lineage: Eukaryota; Metazoa; Chordata; Mammalia; Eulipotyphla; Talpidae
Exons: 3
Source: RefSeq, a predicted model, not a curated record
GAGUCUCACCAUCUGAGGAACUGCACCUCCCCUUCUAGUUUCAGAACCAAGCACUUUCUCUCUCCAAGCAGCUGCUGAAGAAGUGGGAAUACACACAAGGCCAGAGGAAGUUUGGACCUAGCUGCUUGGGGCUGUAGCCAUGGUCCCUCCUGGCUAUUCCUGUUUCCUCAAGAUUUCUCUGUGGGAAGAUGGAUAAAGAAGCAGCCUCAAGUUCCAGGGAAAAAGAAAGAAGUGUCAGAAGAACAUUCUAAUUGUUUUUUGUCUCUUGGAAACAGGGACUAUGUCUUUGUCUUUGUAAUUCCCCACUCUGUCCAGCAUAUACAGUGUCCAGCCCAAUUCACUGCACUUAGUAGACAUACAGAAAUGCUAAAAUGUCAUAA